CCUACGUGAGGCUGCAGUGAGGAAUAUUGGUCAAUGGGAGGAAUCCUGAACCAGCCAUGCCGCGUGCAGGACGACGGCUCUACGAGUUGUAAACUGCUUUUGUACCGGGGUAAAAUGCCUUACGUGUAGGGUUUUGAAAGUACGGUACGAAUAAGGAUCGGCUAACUCCGUGCCAGCAGCCGCGGUAAUACGGAGGAUCCGAGCGUUAUCCGGAUUCAUUGGGUUUAAAGGGUGCGUAGGUUGUUUUAUAAGUUAGCGGUGAAAUACCGAUGCUCAACAUCGGGGCUGCCGCUAAUACUGUAGGACUAGAGAUCGGAUGCAGCAGGCGGAAUGUGUAGUGUAGCGGUGAAAUGCAUAGAUAUCGCGCAGAACCCCGAUUGCGAAGGCAGCGUGCCGUGCCGCCACUGACGCUGAGGCACGAAAGCGCGGGGAUCGAACAGGAUUAGAUACCCUUGUAGUC
RNAcentral lists this ribosomal RNA (460 nucleotides) under uncultured bacterium. RNAcentral describes it as "partial 16S ribosomal RNA". It matches the Rfam family "Bacterial small subunit ribosomal RNA", at positions 338 to 795 of the family's 1533-position model. The record is from RNAcentral.